AUGACCCUACGGGACGCAGCAGUAGGGAAUCUUCCACAAUGGGCGAAAGCCUGAUGGAGCAACGCCGCGUGGGUGAAGAAGGUCUUCGGAUCGUAAAACCCUGUUGUUAGAGAAGAAAGUGCGUGAGAGUAACUGUUCACGUUUCGACGGUAUCUAACCAGAAAGCCACGGCUAACUACGUGCCAGCAGCCGCGGUAAUACGUAGGUGGCAAGCGUUAUCCGGAUUUAUUGGGCGUAAAGGGAACGCAGGCGGUCUUUUCAGUCUGAUGAGAAAGCC
This 277-nucleotide ribosomal RNA is filed under the name uncultured bacterium. Its description in RNAcentral is "partial 16S ribosomal RNA". It matches the Rfam family "Bacterial small subunit ribosomal RNA", at positions 333 to 602 of the family's 1533-position model. The record is from RNAcentral.